GCGCUCGCUACAGCAGCACAUACACUAAAAUUGGAACGAAUCAGAGAAGAUUAGCAGGGCCCUGUGCAAGGAUCACAUGCAAUUUCGUGAAGCAUUCCAUAUUUUU
Fukomys damarensis (Damara mole-rat) is the source of this 106-nucleotide small nuclear RNA. NCBI's taxonomy places the organism in Eukaryota, Metazoa, Chordata, Mammalia, Rodentia, Bathyergidae. The record is from Ensembl.